RNAcentral lists this microRNA precursor (168 nucleotides) under Pelobates cultripes (western spadefoot toad). The record is from RNAcentral. Lineage: Eukaryota; Metazoa; Chordata; Amphibia; Anura; Pelobatidae.
GCAGACACAUUCCAGCCAAUCAGCAGCAGACCCUCCCUCCCAGACCCUCCCACCUCCUGUACAGCUCACUAAGAAUGCAGCUUCACAAUGAAUGUAAAAUGGAUGCUGUCCAGGAGGUGGGAGGGUCUGGGAGGGAGGGUCUGCUGCUGAUUGGCUGGAAUGUGUCUG